This 402-nucleotide ribosomal RNA is filed under the name uncultured prokaryote. RNAcentral describes it as "bacterial SSU rRNA". It matches the Rfam family "Bacterial small subunit ribosomal RNA", at positions 355 to 774 of the family's 1533-position model. The record is from RNAcentral.
UGGGGAAUAUUGGACAAUGGGCGAAAGCCUGAUCCAGCAAUGCCGCGUGAGUGAUGAAGGCCUUAGGGUUGUAAAGCUCUUUUACCCGGGAUGAUAAUGACAGUACCGGGAGAAUAAGCUCCGGCUAACUCCGUGCCAGCAGCCGCGGUAAUACGGAGGGAGCUAGCGUUGUUCGGAAUUACUGGGCGUAAAGCGCGCGUAGGCGGCUCAGCAAGUCAGGGGUGAAAUCCCGGGGCUCAACCCCGGAACUGCCCUUGAAACUGCUAGGCUAGAAUCCUGGAGAGGCGAGUGGAAUUCCGAGUGUAGAGGUGAAAUUCGUAGAUAUUCGGAAGAACACCAGUGGCGAAGGCGACUCGCUGGACAGGUAUUGACGCUGAGGUGCGAAAGCGUGGGGAGCAAACA